UCUGGUGGCCAUGGCGCGGCGGAACCACCCGUUCCCAUCCCGAACACGGAAGUGAAACGCCGCAGCGCCGAUGAUAGCCGGGCGACAGGCCCCGCGAAAGUAGGACGCCGCCAGUU
This 116-nucleotide ribosomal RNA is filed under the name Verrucomicrobiales bacterium. The record is from RNAcentral. Lineage: Bacteria; Pseudomonadati; Verrucomicrobiota; Verrucomicrobiia; Verrucomicrobiales.